Molecule: ribosomal RNA, 497 nt
Filed under: uncultured bacterium
Lineage: Bacteria
Description: partial 16S ribosomal RNA
Rfam family: Bacterial small subunit ribosomal RNA
Source: RNAcentral
GAUGAACGCUGGCGGCGUGCCUAAUACAUGCAAGUCGAGCGAACAGACGAGGAGUUUGCUCCUCUGACGUUAGCGGCGGACGGGUGAUUAACACGUGGAUAACCUACCUAUAAGACUGGGAUAACAUCGGGAAACCGGAGCUAAUACGGGAUAAUAUAUUGAACCGCAUGGUUCAAUAGUGAAAUACGGUUUUGCGGUCACUUAUAGAUGGAUCCGCGCCGCAUUAGCUAGUUGGUAAGGUAAAGGCUUACCAAGGCAACGAUGCGUAGCCGACCUGAGAGGGUGAUCGGCCACACUGGAACUGAGACACGGUCCAGACUCCUACGGGAGGCAGCAGUAGGGAAUCUUCCGCAAUGGGCGAAAGCCUGACGGAACAACGCCGCGUGAGUGAUGAAGGUCUUCGGAUCGUAAAACUCUGUUAUUAGGAAAGAACAAAUGUGUAAGUAACUAUGCACGUCUUGACGGUACCUAAUCAGAAAGCCACGGCUAACUACGUG